UACAGAGGUCCCAAGCGUUGUUCGGAUUUACUGGGCGUAAAGGGUGCGUAGGCGGUUGUUUAAGUCUGACGUGAAAUCUCCGGGCCUAACCCGGAACUGCGUUGGAUACUAUUCAACUAGAGGAAUGGAGGGGAGACUGGAAUACUUGGUGUAGCGGUGGAAUGCGCAGAUAUCAGGAGGAACACCGGUGGCGAAGGCGGGUCUCGUGGGGUGAGGCUGACGCUGGAUGCGCGACAGCGUGGGGAGCAACGAGG
RNAcentral lists this ribosomal RNA (254 nucleotides) under uncultured bacterium. RNAcentral describes it as "partial 16S ribosomal RNA". It matches the Rfam family "Bacterial small subunit ribosomal RNA", at positions 524 to 776 of the family's 1533-position model. The record is from RNAcentral.